UGGACGUUAGCUCAGUUGGUAGAGCAGAGGAUUUUUAAUCCUAAGGUCAAUGGUUCGAACCCAUUACGUCCAA
RNAcentral lists this transfer RNA (73 nucleotides) under Acinetobacter phage Acj9. It matches the Rfam family "tRNA". From Rfam's summary of the family: Transfer RNA (tRNA) molecules are approximately 80 nucleotides in length. Their secondary structure includes four short double-helical elements and three loops (D, anti-codon, and T loops). Lineage: Duplodnaviria; Heunggongvirae; Uroviricota; Caudoviricetes; Pantevenvirales; Straboviridae. The record is from Rfam by way of RNAcentral.